Molecule: ribosomal RNA, 429 nt
Filed under: uncultured bacterium
Lineage: Bacteria
Description: bacterial SSU rRNA
Rfam family: Bacterial small subunit ribosomal RNA
Source: RNAcentral
AUUGAACGCUGGCGGCAUGCCUUACACAUGCAAGUCGAACGGCAGCACGGACUUCGGUCUGGUGGCGAGUGGCGAACGGGUGAGUAAUAUAUCGGAACAUACCCUAGAGUGGGGGAUAACGUAGCGAAAGUUACGCUAAUACCGCAUACGAACUAAGGUUGAAAGCGGGGGAUCUUCGGACCUCGUGCUCAUGGAGUGGCCGAUAUCUGAUUAGCUAGUUGGUGAGGUAAAGGCUCACCAAGGCGACGAUCAGUAGCUGGUUUGAGAGAACGACCAGCCACACUGGAACUGAGACACGGUCCAGACUCCUACGGGAGGCAGCAGUGGGGGAAUUUUGGACAAUGGGCGCGAGCCUGAUCCAGCAAUGCCGCGUGAGUGAAGAAGGCCUCGGUUGUUAAGACGUACUUUGUUCUAGGGAAGGAAACGGUA